CCUACGGGAGGCAGCAGUGGGGAAUAUUGGACAAUGGGCGAAAGCCUGAUCCAGCAAUGCCGCGUGAGUGAUGAAGGCCUUAGGGUUGUAAAGCUCUUUUACCAGGGAUGAUAAUGACAGUACCUGGAGAAUAAGCUCCGGCUAACUCCGUGCCAGCAGCCGCGGUAAUACGGAGGGAGCUAGCGUUGUUCGGAAUUACUGGGCGUAAAGCGUGCGUAGGCGGUGACUCAAGUCAGAGGUGAAAGCCUGGAGCUCAACUCCAGAACUGCCUUUGAAACUAGGUCGCUAGAAUCACGGAGAGGUGAGUGGAAUUCCGAGUGUAGAGGUGAAAUUCGUAGAUAUUCGGAAGAACACCAGUGGCGAAGGCGGCUCACUGGACGUGUAUUGACGCUGAGGCACGAAAGCGUGGGGAGCAAACAGGAUUAGAUACCCUGGUAGUCCACGCCGUAAACGAUGAUAACUAGCUGCCAGGGCUCUUAGAGNUUGUGGCGCAGCACGCAUUAAGUUAGUCCGCCGUGGGGAGGUACGGUCGCGAAGUAAGUUAAAACGUUAAAAGGUUAAAGUUAGUUACGGCGUGAGAGUUGCCGACGGACGACGACGAGGGGAGGAGG
RNAcentral lists this ribosomal RNA (611 nucleotides) under uncultured bacterium. RNAcentral describes it as "bacterial SSU rRNA". The stretch from base 1 to 515 matches the Rfam family "Bacterial small subunit ribosomal RNA", at positions 338 to 873 of the family's 1533-position model. The record is from RNAcentral.